GGAAGUGGGAGCCACAUACCCCGAGCUGGCGGCUUGAGCCUGUGGUAUCUAGGCUCACCUCACUGCGGUUGGUGGAGGUGAUGGAGGUUGCAGCUUGGCCAGCAUGGUAGAAAGGUGGCAGGGCACGUCUGGCUUUUACCACCCAGUUGCUUCGAGCCAGGAGAUGGAGGAGUCAUCUGUUGCACGCUGGAGGCUGGAGCCUGCAGAUGGCAUGGUUCUGUGGCUCACCUCGCUGCAGUUGGUGGCAGAGACAGAGACUGCAGCUUGACCAGAGUGGUGGAGUGUCUGUCUUGUUGCCACUCUCGAUGCCCAC
RNAcentral lists this long non-coding RNA (313 nucleotides) under Homo sapiens (human). Its description in RNAcentral is "HSALNT0197993". Lineage: Eukaryota; Metazoa; Chordata; Mammalia; Primates; Hominidae. The record is from RNAcentral.